RNAcentral lists this non-coding RNA (72 nucleotides) under unclassified sequences. The record is from RNAcentral.
CCGUACCAAAGCCGGCCACCCUAACGUGGUGCUACGGCUCAAUUCCCCGCAAUAGGGGACGCCAAGCGCCUG